GAGGGUAUAGCCCAGUGGUAGAGCAUGUGCUUAGCAUACAUGAGGUCCUGGGUUCCAUCCCCAGUGCCUCCA
Molecule: transfer RNA, 72 nt
Filed under: Camelus bactrianus (Bactrian camel)
Lineage: Eukaryota; Metazoa; Chordata; Mammalia; Artiodactyla; Camelidae
Also listed under: 1 other name
Rfam family: tRNA
About the family: Transfer RNA (tRNA) molecules are approximately 80 nucleotides in length. Their secondary structure includes four short double-helical elements and three loops (D, anti-codon, and T loops).
Source: Rfam by way of RNAcentral